UACGUAGGGGGCAAGCGUUGUCCGGAUUCAUUGGGCGUAAAGAGCGUGUAGGCGGUCAGGUGGGUCGGUUGUGAAAACUGGAGGCUCAACCUUCAGACGUCGACCGAAACGAUCUGGCUAGAGUCCGGGAGAGGAGAGUGGAAUUCCUGGUGUAGCGGUGAAAUGCGCAGAUAUCAGGAAGAACACCCGUGGCGAAAGCGGCUCUCUGGAACGGUACUGACGCUGAGACGCGAAAGCGUGGGGAGCGAACAGG
This 253-nucleotide ribosomal RNA is filed under the name uncultured bacterium. RNAcentral's name for it is "partial 16S ribosomal RNA". It matches the Rfam family "Bacterial small subunit ribosomal RNA", at positions 524 to 776 of the family's 1533-position model. The record is from RNAcentral.